UGUUAUGUGCUGUGAUCCUCCUGACCUACAAUCUACUCGAGAUAGCCUCUUAUGGUAAUAGAAACUUCACCUUGCGAUAUUGCAUGCCAUCCUUCUGAGUCUCCCGUCUCGUGUUCGAUCCACCUACUCCUAGAACUCUACCUCGCACAAGGCUCCCACUGACUCCUAAAGCUCUAUCUCAUGCUAAGCUUUUUACCAAGAGGUAGUAUCCUCC
RNAcentral lists this long non-coding RNA (214 nucleotides) under Elaeis guineensis (African oil palm). Its description in RNAcentral is "long non-coding RNA (EGUI_LNC003197)". The record is from RNAcentral. Lineage: Eukaryota; Viridiplantae; Streptophyta; Magnoliopsida; Arecales; Arecaceae.